RNAcentral lists this ribosomal RNA (253 nucleotides) under uncultured bacterium. RNAcentral describes it as "partial 16S ribosomal RNA". It matches the Rfam family "Bacterial small subunit ribosomal RNA", at positions 524 to 776 of the family's 1533-position model. The record is from RNAcentral.
UACGAAGGGGGCUAGCGUUGUUCGGAAUUACUGGGCGUAAAGCGCACGUAGGCGGAUCGAUCAGUCAGGGGUGAAAUCCCAGGGCUCAACCCUGGAACUGCCUUUGAUACUGUCGAUCUGGAGUAUGGAAGAGGUGAGUGGAAUUCCGGGUGUAGAGGUGAAAUUCGUAGAUAUUCGGAGGAACACCAGUGGCGAAGGCGGCUCACUGGUCCAUUACUGACGCUGAGGUGCGAAAGCGUGGGGAGCAAACAGG